This 680-nucleotide ribosomal RNA is filed under the name uncultured bacterium. RNAcentral's name for it is "bacterial SSU rRNA". It matches the Rfam family "Bacterial small subunit ribosomal RNA", at positions 585 to 1254 of the family's 1533-position model. The record is from RNAcentral.
AAGUCAGAUGUGAAAGCCUUCUGUUCAACGGAAGAAUUGCAUCUGAAACUGCGAGUCUUGAGUGUAGGAGGGGAGAAUGGAACUUCUGGUGGAGCGGUUAAAUGCGUAGAUAUCAGAAGGAACGCCGGCGGCGAAAGCGAUUCUCUGGCCUAUUACUGACACUCAGUGUGCGAAAGCUAGGGGAGCAAACGGGAUUAGAUACCCCGGUAGUCCUAGCUGUAAACGAUGGGCACUAAGUAGAGGGGAUUACCGAUGUUCUCUCUGCCGUAGCUAACGCAUUAAGUGCCCCGCCUGGGGAGUACGGCCGCAAGGCUAAAACUCAAAAGAAUUGACGGGGGCUCGCACAAGCGGUGGAGCAUGUGGUUUAAUUCGAUGCAACGCGGAGAACCUUACCGGGGCUUGACAUGGUAGAAGUAGGAACCUGAAAGGGUAACGAACGGUAUCCAGUCCGUAACUAUCACAGGUGUUGCAUGGCUGUCGUCAGCUCGUGUCGUGAGACGUUGGGUUAAGUCCCCUAACGAGCGAAACCCUUGUUUUUAGUUACCAGCGGGUUAUGCCGGGUACUCUAGAAAGACUGCCGUCGUCAAGACGGAGGAAGGUGGGGAUGACGUCAAGUCAUCAUGGCCCUUAUGCCCCGGGCUACACACGUGCUACAAUGGCCGGUACAAACGGAAGCGAAG